AUUUAUAAAGGUUAUACUCCUUUUCUUUUUA
Molecule: transfer RNA, 31 nt
Filed under: Drosophila emarginata
Lineage: Eukaryota; Metazoa; Arthropoda; Insecta; Diptera; Drosophilidae
Also listed under: 3 other names
Description: partial tRNA-Met
Source: RNAcentral